AUGAACGCUGGCGGCGUGCCUAAUACAUGCAAGUCGCGCGAACAGACGAGGAGCUUGCUCCUCUGACGUUAGCGGCGGACGGGUGAGUAACACGUGGAUAACCUACCUAUAAGACUGGGAUAACUUCGGGAAACCGGAGCUAAUACCGGAUAAUAUAUUGAACCACAUGGUUCAAUAGUGAAAGACGGUUUUGCUGUCACUUAUAGAUGGAUCCGCGCCGCAUUAGCUAGUUGGUAAGGUAACGGCUUACCAAGGCAACGAUGCGUAGCCGACCUGAGAGGGUGAUCGGCCACACUGGAACUGAGACACGGUCCAGACUCCUACGGGAGGCAGCAGUAGGGAAUCUUCCGCAAUGGGCGAAAGCCUGACGGAGCAACGCCGCGUGAGUGAUGAAGGUCUUCGGAUCGUAAAACUCUGUUAUUAGGGAAGAACAAAUGUGUAAGUAACUAUGCACGUCUUGACGGUACCUAAUCAGAAAGCCACGGCUAACUACGUG
Molecule: ribosomal RNA, 496 nt
Filed under: uncultured bacterium
Lineage: Bacteria
Description: partial 16S ribosomal RNA
Rfam family: Bacterial small subunit ribosomal RNA
Source: RNAcentral